Molecule: transfer RNA, 71 nt
Filed under: Camelus bactrianus (Bactrian camel)
Lineage: Eukaryota; Metazoa; Chordata; Mammalia; Artiodactyla; Camelidae
Also listed under: 2 other names
Rfam family: tRNA
About the family: Transfer RNA (tRNA) molecules are approximately 80 nucleotides in length. Their secondary structure includes four short double-helical elements and three loops (D, anti-codon, and T loops).
Source: Rfam by way of RNAcentral
GAGGGUAUAGCUCAGUGGUAGAGUGUGUGCUUAGCAUGCACAAGGUCCUGGGUUCAAUCCCCAGGUCCUCU